UACGGAGGGUGCAAGCGUUAUCCGGAUUCACUGGGUUUAAAGGGUGCGUAGGAGGGCAGGUAAGUCAGUGGUGAAAUCUUCGAGCUUAACUCGGAAACUGCCGUUGAUACUAUCUGUCUUGAAUACCGUGGAGGUGAGCGGAAUAUGUCAUGUAGCGGUGAAAUGCUUAGAUAUGACAUAGAACACCAAUUGCGAAGGCAGCUCGCUACACGAAUAUUGACUCUGAGGCACGAAAGCGCGGGGAUCAAACAGG
Molecule: ribosomal RNA, 253 nt
Filed under: uncultured bacterium
Lineage: Bacteria
Description: partial 16S ribosomal RNA
Rfam family: Bacterial small subunit ribosomal RNA
Source: RNAcentral